RNAcentral lists this ribosomal RNA (395 nucleotides) under uncultured bacterium. Its description in RNAcentral is "bacterial SSU rRNA". It matches the Rfam family "Bacterial small subunit ribosomal RNA", at positions 100 to 510 of the family's 1533-position model. The record is from RNAcentral.
GGACGGGUGAGUAACACGUGAGCAACCUGCCUAUCAGAGGGGGAUAACGAUUGGAAACGAUCGCUAAUACCGCAUGACAUAGCGGAACCGCAUGGUUUUGCUAUCAAAGAUUUUAUCGCUGAUAGAUGGGCUCGCGUCCGAUUAGAUAGUUGGUGGGGUAACGGCCUACCAAGUCGACGAUCGGUAGCCGGACUGAGAGGUCGAACGGCCACAUUGGGACUGAGACACGGCCCAGACUCCUACGGGAGGCAGCAGUGGGGGAUAUUGCACAAUGGGGGAAACCCUGAUGCAGCGACGCCGCGUGAGGGAAGACGGUCCUCUGGAUUGUAAACCUCUGUCUUCGGGGACGAAACGAGACGGUACCCGAGGAGGAAGCCACGGCUAACUACGUGCCA